CUCAGAGAGGUUAGGUAACUUGCCCCAGGUCACAGAGCUGGAAGGAGCAGAGCCAAUAUUCACACCCUGAUUUGCGUAAUUCCAGAUUUGAUCUUCUAGCUUCUAUGCUGUGCUGCCUCUUCAUGACAGUUUUUCUCAUGUACAGGAUCUGAUGCAGAAACUUAUCGGAGUUUCUUACCGGAGCACCAGUCACCUCUCAUCAUUUUCCUGUUUUGACGUGAAGGCUCAGUGAUAGUGAGCAGGCUCAGGGUCUACAGAGUUGGUGAUAUCAGCAUCACACAGGACAUUCAGAAUGUUGACUCCAGGGAUGUUGAGAGAUACUCCUGCACAAAGCUGCCAGCACCCGUGUCCAAGAAACACUCAGAAUCUAGGUCUCCUUGUAUAUUUUCCCCACUACCUGCAAAGGUAAAGAGGAACAGGCAGUGCUGGGACCGAGGGAGCGACAGUCCUAAUGGAAGCUAGUGUGUUGAGAGUCUCCUCUGUGUCAUGCUCUGAGCGACAUGUUUUAUAUGCACGAUCUCAUUUAGACCUUGUGACAGCAUGUUGUAGCAAGGACCCCAUCAUCACAGGGGGCAAAUGUCUGCAGUGCAGAAAGUCGUCCUGAAGAAAUGGAUGUCAGAUAAAAACAGUCUUCAUAAAUCAAUGAUCCUGUUUUACCUCAAAAGUGCAUGAAAUGGAAAUGGAAAUAUCUUGUGAAGAUGUAGACAAAUGACGGUCAUUGCCCAGAGCAGUAGUUACUGUCAGAAAAAGAGAUAAGGAUUUCCAGUCUGACAGACUGGAUUCCUGGCUCAACACCACCCCCUUCUAACCAUGUGACCUUGGGCAAAUUACCUAACCUUUUCUGAGUCUCAAUUUCCUCAUCUUCCAAAAGGGGAUAAUAUCAUAUAUGUUCCAAGAUUGCUGUGAGUAUUAAAUGAGAUGAUGUAUGUAAAGUACCUGGCCAGCAGUCUCUGGCACAUAGUAAGUAUUCAAUAAAGACUAAUGGUGGAGAUGAGUAUAGGGGCUACUAAUGCCCAUCCUUACUCCAGAGACUUCUUUCUGACCAUCAUGAGGCACUUUUGAAUAUCUAAACCCAUUUAAAGCCCACUUUUCUCUAUGGCUGGCCAUUUCUGCCUAUUGACAGCUAAUUUGCCUCAUCCUACAGGACACCUUCCAUGUUUCCCCAGACUCCAGAAAUCAGGUAUUAAAUUAUCAGGGCUUCAGGAGCCAUGGUCUAUGAUGAGUUUACUACCUGUGCCCAAUAAAUGUUUAAGAAAUAAAUAAGAGCCAAUAUAACUAUAAAGACC
RNAcentral lists this long non-coding RNA (1286 nucleotides) under Homo sapiens (human). RNAcentral's name for it is "HSALNT0173958". Lineage: Eukaryota; Metazoa; Chordata; Mammalia; Primates; Hominidae. The record is from RNAcentral.